This 253-nucleotide ribosomal RNA is filed under the name uncultured bacterium. Its description in RNAcentral is "partial 16S ribosomal RNA". It matches the Rfam family "Bacterial small subunit ribosomal RNA", at positions 524 to 776 of the family's 1533-position model. The record is from RNAcentral.
GACGAACCGAGCGAACGUUGUUCGGAAUCACUGGGCUUAAAGGGCGCGUAGGCGGGCUGUCAAGUCUGGGGUGAAAUCCCGCGGCUCAACCGUGGAACUGCCUCAGAUACUGACGGCCUCGAGGGAGGUAGGGGCGAGCGGAACUGUGAGUGGAGCGGUGAAAUGCGUUGAUAUUCACAGGAACUCCGGUGGCGAAGGCGGCUCGCUGGACCUCUUCUGACGCUGAGGCGCGAAAGCUAGGGGAGCAAACGGG